CAAAGGGAUUACCGGUGGCGGAUGGGCAUGCGGCGCAUUAGCUAGUCGGCGGGGUAACGGCCCACCGAGGCGACGAUGCGUAGGGGUUCUGAGAGGAAGGUCCCCCACACUGGUACUGAGACACGGACCAGACUCCUACGGGAGGCAGCAGUGAGGAAUAUUGGUCAAUGGGCGCGAGCCUGAACCAGCCAAGUCGCGUGAGGGAUGACGGUCCUACGGAUUGUAAACCUCUUUUGCCGGGGAGCAAGCGUGCGUUCGUGAACGCGCGUCGAGAGUACCCGGAGAAAAAGCAUCGGCUAACUCCGUGCCAGCAGCCGCGGUAAUACGGAGGAUGCGAGCGUUAUCCGGAUUUAUUGGGUUUAAAGGGUGCGUAGGCGGGAUGCCAAGUCAGCGGUAAAAAUGCGGUGCUCAACGCCGUCGAGCCGUUGAAACUGGCGUUCUUGAGUGGGCGAGAGGUAUGCGGAAUGCGUGGUGUAGCGGUGAAAUGCAUAGAUAUCACGCAGAACUCCGAUUGCGAAGGCAGCAUACCGGCGCCCUACUGACGCUGAGGCACGAAAGCGUGGGUAUCGAACAGGAUUAGAUACCCUGGUAGUCCACGCAGUAAACGAUGAAUGCUAACUGUCCGGCUCGAAUGAGCGCUGG
This 642-nucleotide ribosomal RNA is filed under the name uncultured bacterium. RNAcentral describes it as "bacterial SSU rRNA". It matches the Rfam family "Bacterial small subunit ribosomal RNA", at positions 202 to 842 of the family's 1533-position model. The record is from RNAcentral.